RNAcentral lists this small RNA (72 nucleotides) under Cricetulus griseus (Chinese hamster). RNAcentral's name for it is "tRNA-Asp". Lineage: Eukaryota; Metazoa; Chordata; Mammalia; Rodentia; Cricetidae. The record is from RNAcentral.
CUCCAAAUUGGGGAAUUGAACCCAAAUCUCCCACGUGACAGGUGGGGAUACUCACCACUAUACCCCCAUGCA